Molecule: signal recognition particle RNA, 100 nt
Filed under: Nanobdellota archaeon
Lineage: Archaea; Nanobdellati; Nanobdellota
Description: signal recognition particle sRNA small type
Rfam family: Bacterial small signal recognition particle RNA
About the family: The signal recognition particle (SRP) is a universally conserved ribonucleoprotein involved in the co-translational targeting of proteins to membranes. Archaeal SRP consists of a 7S RNA and homologues of the eukaryotic SRP19 and SRP54 proteins.
Source: RNAcentral
AGUUCUGUCUUUUAUGGCUCUCUUUUAAGUGAAAUGUGUCAGGUGGGGAACCAAGCAGCACUAAAUUUUUAAGGGGGUGCUUAGAAGGUGCGGGGUGGAC